AACGGGGAUGCUGUGAGCAGACCCCUUUUUUAUAGGGGAAUAAGAGGAAGAGACCUAUUGUCCAAAUCUGCCGAAAUGGAAGUGGAGCAGAUCCAGAAUCCUAUGGACCUGCCUUUCCACAGACCCAUGACAAGAUCCUUCACACUCUCUCCUCUCCAAGAGCACUGGCACUCAAAUCAGAAUAGUUCCAAGACCCUAACUGUACACGGCUGUAUCAAAUAAGGAACGACUCUCCAAUCUUUUCUUUUUUUAAACCACAUCUUUAGAAAAAAAGACCAAAUUCUGUUUUGUAAAGGGCAGUGCUCUGUUCUGAAGUGCAAUGAGUGGACAGACUCCUUGUGGAAGACAUUUUCUAUGGGAACAGCUGAUUGGNGCAAGUCCAGCAUAAAAGGCAAAGGAUCUCAACAGUUGAGAUAAAGGAUGACUUGAGUUUGCUUGGUUAGGAUCUAGAAAGAAUACAAACCAUUUGCAAUGUGACACUGCAGCUGAGCAGUGAAGAUCUGGAAGCAAAUGCUUGUGGACAAUGGACUAUAAAAAAAGGAUGGUGCUUGGCAAAAUUGAGGGAAGCAGAAAAAAUGAAUAAAGAUAAUGAAUAAGGUGGAUAAAUGGUGUUC
RNAcentral lists this long non-coding RNA (614 nucleotides) under Salvator merianae (Argentine black and white tegu). RNAcentral describes it as "lncRNA (ENSSMRG00000014264.1)". The record is from RNAcentral. Lineage: Eukaryota; Metazoa; Chordata; Lepidosauria; Squamata; Teiidae.